AGUGAAUGCGAUUGCCAAGUCUAUAAUUCUAGGGUGCCUAGCAUCUCUAAUUCUUGUUCUGAAUCCAUCAUGGUCUAGUGUGGAUGGACUGGGAGAGUUAUAGUUGAUGAAUGAUCAUUGCAAAUGACUUGAUGAAUGAUCAUUGUAGAUACUCUGAAUCGAUGCAUAUGGUUUCAGGUUUAAGAUUGGCGGUCUUGAUUCCUGUCAAAACUUGUUUCUUCUUUAGAGUUCAUUAUGUAGCUUGAACAUUACAUGUCAGGUGUUAUUUUUAUGCCACCAAUGCUGAGUUCUCCUCCCUUGCAGUCUGCUUAUAAUGGAAAGGGUGACAGAAGUGAUCCAUGGACUUGGCCAGAAGUGGAAGGGCCAUUAACGGCUGUUUUGUUUGAAGGUUGGAUGCUUGGAUUCAAACCCUUGCCAGCAGAUGCAGUCAAAGCUGUUGAUCCACAGCUAGAGACUGUAAACAAGAAUCUUGAAGCUUAUUAUGAUGCGUGGGACAAAUUUGUCAAGGCAUGGAUAGUCAUCAAGAUUGAGGACACUAGUUGUGUCUACCAAUGGCGCUUGCAGGCUAGCAUCUCACCUUCCCUAUGACCACAUUAUGUUCUAUCGAAAUACAGAAAUUGCCAUGAGAGAGGCCGGAAAUCCUGGGAUGUCUGAUGAGGAGGUUAAAGAUUUUGUCUCCCGUUACCUCCGAGCGUACGAGGCUUAUCUCCCAACACUAUACUCUGAAGGACCAAAGGGGUCAGACCCUGAGCAUCUCCUCGUUAUCAAAAUUGAUGAAGGGAGAAACCCGUUAUAGGUAGCUAGGUGAUUGAAACUUCCACUGAGAUUCUACUGAGGAUUUUCUUUUUUUCUUGAUUGUUGGGCCUAUUGAAAGGUCAGUUUUGUUUUAAUAACAUGCCAUCUUCUGUUGUUAGUCAUUGUAAAUUGUAUAUUCUAUAUGAAAUUUUGACAUGUAAAUAAACUCUGUCAUUCAGCUCCAGAUGUAUUGGCAGCUUAUCAGGAAUUGCCUUCAAUCGCUUAUGUGAUCAUAAA
Molecule: long non-coding RNA, 1032 nt
Organism: Syzygium oleosum
Lineage: Eukaryota; Viridiplantae; Streptophyta; Magnoliopsida; Myrtales; Myrtaceae
Exons: 5
Source: RefSeq, a predicted model, not a curated record